RNAcentral lists this ribosomal RNA (1143 nucleotides) under Gymnogobius urotaenia. Its description in RNAcentral is "partial 16S ribosomal RNA". It matches the Rfam family "Bacterial large subunit ribosomal RNA", at positions 791 to 2564 of the family's 2925-position model. Lineage: Eukaryota; Metazoa; Chordata; Actinopteri; Gobiiformes; Gobiidae. The record is from RNAcentral.
GCAAAAGAGUGGGAAGAUCUUUGAGUAGAGGUGACAGACCUACCGAGCUCAGUUAUAGCUGGUUGCCUACAAAAAGAAUAGAAGUUCAGCCUUUACACUUCUUCUCUCAAAACUGCAUAUACUAAUAAGUGACACAAAGAAGUUAAAAGAGUUAUUCAAGGGGGGAACAGCCCCCUUGAAAAAAGAUACAACUUUAUUUAGAAGGCUAAAGAUUAAAAUACCCCAGGCAAAUAUACCUUGGUGGGCCUAAAAGCAGCCAUCCAUAUAGAAAGCGUUAAAGCUCAAGUACUUUGCCCCUCCCUAAUUUCAAUAAUUCAAUCUUAAGCCCCUUAAUUAAUAGUAGGCCUUUUCAUGCACCCAUGAAAGAGAUACUGCUGAGAUGAGUAAUAAGAGGACCGCUCCUCUCCCCAACACUUGUAUAAUUCAGAACGAACCCCCACUGAAAAUUAACGCCCCCAACUAAAAGAGGGGCCUGGGAAAGCCCAAAAUAAACUAGAAGCUCACCCAACAAUUAGCGUUAACCCUACACAGGUGUGUUUUAAGGAAAGACUAAAAGAAAAAGAAGGAACUCGGCAAACACUGGCCUCGCCUGUUUACCAAAAACAUCGCCUCUUGCAACAAACGUAUAAGAGGUCCCGCCUGCCCUGUGACUUACUAGUUUAACGGCCGCGGUAUUUUGACCGUGCGAAGGUAGCGUAAUCACUUGUCUUUUAAAUGGAGACCUGUAUGAAUGGCACAACGAGGGCUAAGCUGUCUCCUUUUUCCAGUCAAUGAAAUUGAUUUUCCCGUGCAGAAGCGGGAAUAUAAACAUAAGACGAGAAGACCCUAUGGAGCUUAAGACACAAGGCAGCCCAUGUAAAACACCUGGCUCAACAGAAUUAACCAAGUGGCCCCUGCCCUUUUGUCUUUGGUUGGGGCGACCGCGGGGAAACAAAAAUCCCCCACGUGGAAUGGGGCCAACCCCCCUAAAGCCAGAGCCACAGCUCUAGCUAGCAGAACAUCUGACCUACAAGAUCCGGCAAAGCCGAUCAACGGACCGAGUUACCCUAGGGAUAACAGCGCAAUCCCCUUUUAGAGCCCAUAUCGACAAGGGGGUUUACGACCUCGAUGUUGGAUCAGGACAUCCUAAUGGUGCAGCCGCUA